UACAGAGGGGCAAGCGUUGUUCGGAAUUACUGGGCGUAAAGGGCGCGUAGGCGGCCUUCUAAGUCGAACGUGAAAUCCCCGGGCUCAACCCGGGAACUGCGUCCGAUACUGGAAGGCUUGAAUCCGGGAGAGGGAUGUGGAAUUCCAGGUGUAGCGGUGAAAUGCGUAGAUAUCUGGAGGAACACCGGUGGCGAAGGCGACAUCCUGGACCGGUAUUGACGCUGAGGCGCGAAAGCCAGGGGAGCAAAGCGGG
RNAcentral lists this ribosomal RNA (253 nucleotides) under uncultured bacterium. Its description in RNAcentral is "partial 16S ribosomal RNA". It matches the Rfam family "Bacterial small subunit ribosomal RNA", at positions 524 to 777 of the family's 1533-position model. The record is from RNAcentral.